AACGCUAGCUACAGGCUUAACACAUGCAAGUCGAGGGGCAGCAUAAAAGUAGCAAUACUUUGGUGGCGACCGGCGCACGGGUGAGUAACGCGUAUGCAACCUACCUAUCAGAGGGGGAUAACCCGGCGAAAGUCGGACUAAUACCGCAUAAAACAGGGGCACCGCAUGGUGAUAUUUGUUAAAAAUUUAUUGCUGAUAGAUGGGCAUGCGUUCCAUUAGGUAGUUGGAGAGGUAACGGCUCACCAAGCCCACGAUGGAUAGGGGAACUGAGAGGUUGGUCCCCCACACUGGUACUGAGACACGGACCAGACUCCUACGGGAGGCAGCAGUGAGGAAUAUUGGUCAAUGGGCGAGAGCCUGAACCAGCCAAGUCGCGUGAAGGAAGAAGGAUCUAUGGUUCGUAAACUUCUUUUGCAGGGGAAUAAAGUGCGGGACGUGUCCUGUUUUGUAUGUACCCUGAGAAUAAGGAUCGGCUAACUCCGUGCCAGCAGCCGCGGUAAUACGGAGGAUCCGAGCGUUAUCCGGAUUUAUUGGGUUUAAAGGGAGCGUAGAUGGAUGUUUAAGUCAGUUGUGAAAGUUUGCGGCUCAACCGUAAAAUUGCAGUUGAUACUGGAUAUCUUGAGUGCAGUUGAGGCAGGCGGAAUUCGUGGUGUAGCGGUGAAAUGCUUAGAUAUCACGAAGAACUCCGAUUG
RNAcentral lists this ribosomal RNA (692 nucleotides) under uncultured bacterium. RNAcentral's name for it is "bacterial SSU rRNA". It matches the Rfam family "Bacterial small subunit ribosomal RNA", at positions 32 to 715 of the family's 1533-position model. The record is from RNAcentral.